Molecule: ribosomal RNA, 447 nt
Filed under: Aeribacillus sp. G13D038
Lineage: Bacteria; Bacillati; Bacillota; Bacilli; Caryophanales; Bacillaceae
Description: bacterial SSU rRNA
Rfam family: Bacterial small subunit ribosomal RNA
Source: RNAcentral
GCGGCGGACGGGUGAGUAACACGUGGGCAACCUGCCCUGCAGACUGGGAUAACUUCGGGAAACCGGAGCUAAUACCGGAUAACACCGAAAACCGCAUGGUUUUCGGUUGAAAGGCGGCUUUUAUCUGUCUCUGCAGGAUGGGCCCGCGGCGCAUUAUCUAUUUGGUGAGGUAACGGCUCACCACGGCGACGAUGCGUAGCCCACCUGAGAGGGUGACCGGCCACACUGGGACUGAGACACGGCCCACACUCCUACGGGAGGCAGCAGUAGGGAAUCUUCCGCAAUGGACGAAAGUCUGACGGAGCAACGCCGCGUGAGCGAAGAAGGUCUUCGGAUCGUAAAGCUCUGUUGUCAGGGAAGAACAAGUGCCGUUCGAACAGGGCGGUACCUUGACGGUACCUGACGAGGAAGCCACGGCUAACUACUUGCCACCAGCCGCGGUAAUAC